This 1611-nucleotide long non-coding RNA is filed under the name Olea europaea (common olive). RNAcentral describes it as "long non-coding RNA (OEUR_LNC011630)". Lineage: Eukaryota; Viridiplantae; Streptophyta; Magnoliopsida; Lamiales; Oleaceae. The record is from RNAcentral.
UUUAUGACUGAGAGUUUUAGGGUUGCUGUUCUCUGAAUUGAGGUGAUUUUACAGAAUCACGUGGCAGUACAAGUUCAAAGAGAUAACUUUCCGGAACGCGUCAAUAGAGAGGCUAUACCACCACAUGCUGUUCUGCAGUCUGAUGAUUUGCCACAGCUACUGAAUUCUCCUUUUACCUAUUGAGAGACCCUGCUGAAAUUUUAUAGCACAUUAGAUGCAGAACCACAGUGAAAAGUCAAUGGAAAUCAGAGAAAAAAUAUUGAAGUACUGACUAAUAGCACGUCUUUAUCAACUCUUGCCCAAAUUAGAUAAAGUGAAUAAGAUAAUCAAGAGAGCACAAAAGGAGCCAAGACUAUUUCAUUGUUCUUCCAAUAUAAAGUAGAAGCCAUUAUUCCUCAAGGAUUAGAGAAGAAAAUGUAUCUACAUUUAUUAAUUUUGAAAUGUGAUCUUCAAAGUUUGAAGCCAGAAAAUGUAAAGAAACAUUAAUAAUCAAUGAAAGAAACACUAUGUAAAACCCUUUGCCCUGUUUGACACUAGAGAAAAACAAUAGUUAUGAUGAAAAAAAAUAAUUACGAGAAGCACUCACCAAUUUAUACAUUUAUUUUUCUUUCAUGAUGCUCUAACUAUAUCACAAGAUAUUAAAUUGACGUGUAUUAUUUAAAAAAUAAAAGGUAAGAAAAUCAAUUUCACAAAUUCAGCCUUCUACAUUCCCAUGAAAUCCUAGAUCAAAUGUAUUUCAACAGAAGAAAAGAUUGUUGAUGAAAAAUGUCGAUAGGGAAAGUUGUGAAAUGGGUUUGAAUUUGAGAACCUCAGUGCAUGAUUUAGAGCAUAUUUCUAUCAAUGAUUUCAUACGACCCUAAUCACUUGGCUAAAUGUUUAUAAAUUGGAAAAUUCUACUUGUACACAAUUAUUGCACAUAAUGGUGUACAUAUCUUUGUUACGUGAAGGCACAACAGCAGAAUUCUCACAGCAUUUUUGUCCAUUUUCUGCAAGGGACCUGUAGAGCGCUGUUUCACAAAUUCUAACACCAUUGUUCUAUUUUAUCGAUUCUUGCAAAUUUAAUUGUAGCUGUCCAUGGAUCUUCAUAUACCUAGUUACCUCAUGGCUCACAUGCAUGCCCAAGAGGUCCUAUCCCUUAACAUUAGAUAUCUUAAGUUUCAUUCCUGUGAUAGGGAUUAAAUUAAAUCCACAAUAUUUCAAAUCUUCAUUUCUUCAUAAACCUCAAUUAUAUUUACAAUCAUUAAGUAGUCUAAUUUCUAAAUUCAACUUUUAAACAUCCUUACAUGUCCUCAGCGAACCAAUAUGUUCAUUAAACUUGGUUCUGAAGGUCAAAACUUAAAAAAUCAGCACAGUGGUGUCAGAAUUAGCAAAAUUAGCAGCCAGUCUCCCUUGUAGAAAUGGGUCGAAAAUGCUUAAAGUUUUUCCAUUAUUUCACUAUCAAAUCCCAAUUCCAACCUUCAAAUCAUGUUAAUACACACUUCCUUCAUGUAUAUAAUUGUUUACCAUCUAUCAGCCAAGCAAAAUAAAAUUCCAAGUAACAAUUCCCUAUCAAAUUGUGUUUGAUCUCCAUAUCACAUUACAUAAAGAUAUUGUCCCUUCAAGUUGACAGAU